CUCAAUAUACAACCAUUCUACAAGAGACAGUAAAAUCUGUAGAAUUAAAAACUAGCUAAUGGGAGGCUAGAUAAUAAGAUGAACUCAAAUUUAUUUUUUUAUCAAACUAAAAUAAUACAAACUAUGUACAUUAGGUUAGAUAUUUUUUCUUUAAUUUAUAAAUUCUAGGGAGUUCCAUAUUAAAAAAAAUCCUAAGUAAUGGAAUAUGUGAUUGAAAUGUCGCCACUCAAUCCUUGAUCUUCUUGCAUUCAAGAAUUAAAAUGCACCCUGUAAUUUCAAAAGAAACAAUAAUUAGCACAAAAAAGAUGAGCAAACCCAAGGAAAAUUAUAAUACAAAGAUCAAGUUUAAUUUAUUAAAAUGCUACUAAUAGAAUUUCAGUAAGAAAAAUUUUUGUCUUGAUAUUCUAUUACAGGAAUUUUUAACAAAAAACAAAAGGGAAAAACUCAAAGCAACAAUAUCAGUAAACGAACCUGUAUACCUUUUAAAGAAUUUCUUACGAAAUCUUCAUCCCAACAUUACAACUUUAUUAUUUUCAAGUUCCCACGCAAUAUUUAUAACAAAUAAGAUACAAUAUUUAUCAAAUUGUUGGGAUAACCUGCAAAAUUUAACCCAAAAAUCUAAUAUUAGAUAUUAACCUGCAAAAUUUAACCCAAAAAUCUAUUUUAAGUUCCCACGCAAUAUUUAUAACAAAUAAGAUACAAUAUUUAUCAAAUUGUUGGGAUAACCUGCAAAAUUUAACCCAAAAAUCUACGUCAAAUAUUAGAUAUAAUGAGAUUCAAAAACCUUAAAAUAUAGAGAUAUGAAUAUAACUCAGAAUUAAGAAGGCAUCAAUUUCAAUGGUAGAAGAAAUGGGAAAGGGGGAGGAAUAAUUACCAAAAAAAAAGGGGGGGAGGAAGGGGUGGCGGCAGAGAGGGGGAAUAUGAGGUUAGGUUUUGGUUU
This 940-nucleotide long non-coding RNA is filed under the name Nicotiana benthamiana. RNAcentral describes it as "long non-coding RNA (NBEN_LNC005884)". Lineage: Eukaryota; Viridiplantae; Streptophyta; Magnoliopsida; Solanales; Solanaceae. The record is from RNAcentral.